CACAUACAUAUACACACACACACACACACCAAUUUGAGCUCCAGACACUCGACGGCAAAACACCGCUGUUCGGGAGUUUGAAAAUGGCCGCCGCCACGUGUUCGUUUCCCGAAUGGCGGCCACCCCCGAGAACAAAGGACGGCUACUCAGCUUGUCAAUUACCCGUUCGCAACAAUGUUGCAAAGGGUAAUUGAAGGCACACUUCACACAAGGGAGGUCUGACUGUUCGGUAGUUUCAUUCUAAGGGAAUUAAACUACCUAACAUUCAGACGAAUACAAUACAGUUAACACAUAGAACUUUGCUAUUUUACACGAAUGCAUUCAAAUACAUGUAAUUCUCAGGACAUUCCAG
Pelobates cultripes (western spadefoot toad) is the source of this 352-nucleotide non-coding RNA. The record is from the annotation of a GenBank genome assembly. Lineage: Eukaryota; Metazoa; Chordata; Amphibia; Anura; Pelobatidae.